GUUAGAAAUGAUAACCCGAUAUUGAAAAUAGAAAUUGAUUGUGGUUAAGUUAGUUGGAGUAUUUGACAGUUCUAAACACUAUAUUAAUAGUGUUGCUAAUAAAACGUUAUUUACAUCCGGAUUUAAUCUAAAUCUGUUAAUUUCAGUAGUGAUCAGGACAGUUAAGGGAAUAUAGCCCAAAAGACCAAUGUGGGUAUGAGUGAAUGAAUGCAAUUCUAUUCAAU
This 224-nucleotide long non-coding RNA is filed under the name Homo sapiens (human). RNAcentral's name for it is "non-protein coding lnc-SFTA3-2:1". Lineage: Eukaryota; Metazoa; Chordata; Mammalia; Primates; Hominidae. The record is from RNAcentral.